Molecule: ribosomal RNA, 301 nt
Filed under: uncultured bacterium
Lineage: Bacteria
Description: partial 16S ribosomal RNA
Rfam family: Bacterial small subunit ribosomal RNA
Source: RNAcentral
CAGUAGCCACGGUAAUACGAAGGUCCCGAGCGUUGUUCGGAAUCACUGGGCGUAAAGGGAGCGUAGGCGGCGUGGUAAGUCAGAUGUGAAAUCCCGGGGCUCAACCCCGGAACUGCAUCCGAUACUGCCAUGCUAGAGGAUUGGAGAGGUAGCUGGAAUUCUUGGUGUAGCAGUGAAAUGCGUGGAGAUCAAGAGGAACACUCGUGGCGAAAGCGAGCUACUGGACAAUAACUGACGCUGAGGCUCGAAGGCCAGGGGAGCAAACAGGAUUAGAUACCCCUGUAGUCCCUGUCUCUUAUAA